RNAcentral lists this unclassified non-coding RNA (336 nucleotides) under soil metagenome. Its description in RNAcentral is "partial contains 5.8S ribosomal RNA, internal transcribed spacer 2, and large subunit ribosomal RNA". The stretch from base 1 to 120 matches the Rfam family "5.8S ribosomal RNA", at positions 35 to 154 of the family's 154-position model. The record is from RNAcentral.
GAUGAAGAACGUAGCGAAAUGCGAUAAGUAAUGUGAAUUGCAGAAUUCAGUGAAUCAUCGAAUCUUUGAACACACAUUGCGCCCGCCAGUAUUCUGGCGGGCAUGCCUGUUCGAGCGUCAUUUCAACCAUCAAGCCCCAGGCUUGUGUUGGGGACCUGCGGCUGCCGCAGGCCCUGAAAACCAGUGGCGGGCUCGCUGUCACACCGGGCGUAGUAGAUUCUAUCUCGCUCAGGGCGUGCUGCGGGUUCCGGCCGUUAAAAAGCCUUUUUUACCCAAGGUUGACCUCGGAUCAGGUAGGAAGACCCGCUGAACUUAAGCAUAUCAAUAAGCGGAGGA